This 254-nucleotide ribosomal RNA is filed under the name uncultured bacterium. Its description in RNAcentral is "partial 16S ribosomal RNA". It matches the Rfam family "Bacterial small subunit ribosomal RNA", at positions 524 to 776 of the family's 1533-position model. The record is from RNAcentral.
UACGGGGGGAGCAAGCGUUGUUCGGAUUUACUGGGCGUAAAGGGCGCGUAGGCGGCCAGCACAAGUCAGUUGUGAAAUCUCCGAGCUUAACUCGGAAAGGUCAACUGAUACUGUGCGGCUAGAGUGCGGAAGGGGCAACUGGAAUUCUUGGUGUAGCGGUGAAAUGCGUAGAUAUCAAGAGGAACACCUGCGGCGAAGGCGGGUUGCUGGGCCGACACUGACGCUGAGGCGCGAAAGCGUAGGGAGCAAACGGG